GCCUUCGUAGCUCAGUGGUAGAGCACUUGCUUGGUAAGUAAGGGGUCGGAAGUUCAAUUCUUCUCGGAGGCACCA
Molecule: transfer RNA, 75 nt
Filed under: Candidatus Pelagibacteraceae bacterium
Lineage: Bacteria; Pseudomonadati; Pseudomonadota; Alphaproteobacteria; Candidatus Pelagibacterales; Candidatus Pelagibacteraceae
Description: tRNA-Thr
Rfam family: tRNA
About the family: Transfer RNA (tRNA) molecules are approximately 80 nucleotides in length.
Source: RNAcentral